RNAcentral lists this transfer RNA (80 nucleotides) under Sphaerodactylus townsendi. RNAcentral describes it as "tRNA-Ala". Lineage: Eukaryota; Metazoa; Chordata; Lepidosauria; Squamata; Sphaerodactylidae. The record is from RNAcentral.
GGACGGACAGUGGCUCAGUGACAGAAGAGUCUGCUUAGCAUGCAGAAGGUCGCAGGUUCAAUCCCGGCAUCUCCCAUUCA